AGAUUGAACGCUGGCGGCAGGCCUAACACAUGCGAGUCGAGCGGUAGAGAGGUGCUUGCACCUCUUGAGAGCGGCGGACGGGUGAGUAAUGCCCAGGAAUCUGCCUAGUGGUGGGGGGAUAACGUUCGGAAACGGACGCUAAUACCGCAUACGUCCUACGGGAGAAAGCGGGGGACCUUCGGGCCUCGCGCCAUUAGAUGAGCCUAGGUCGAUUAGCUAGUUGGUGACGGUAAUGGCUCACCAAGGCGACGAUCCGUAACUGGUCUGAGAGGAUGAUCAGUCACACUGGAACUGAGACACGGUCCAGUACUCCUAGGGAGCAGCAGUGGGGAAUAGUUGGAACAAGUGGGACGAAAAGGUCCCUAGACUCCGAGCCAAUGCCGCGUGUGUAGAAGUAACGGUCUACGG
Molecule: ribosomal RNA, 408 nt
Filed under: uncultured soil bacterium
Lineage: Bacteria
Description: bacterial SSU rRNA
Rfam family: Bacterial small subunit ribosomal RNA
Source: RNAcentral